Centruroides sculpturatus (bark scorpion) is the source of this 425-nucleotide long non-coding RNA. RefSeq lists it as uncharacterized. The record is from RefSeq and is a predicted model, not a curated record. The transcript has 2 exons. Lineage: Eukaryota; Metazoa; Arthropoda; Arachnida; Scorpiones; Buthidae.
AUUAAAUGCGCACGGAGUCGAUCGAUUUUUCGUCACCAGUGAAAUAUCGAACACGGAGUAGACGCUCUGUAUAACCCGUCUCAGCGUUAUUCUAUCUGUAUACUGAGCGAAACAUGCCCUGCACGGAAAACUAUGAAAAUUCCUCAUCGGAUCAGCAAUUCAACAACUUUCACUAUUGGAGGCAACCGAUUCCCGAAAUAUCUUUCCUGGAGUUAGAUGAAUUAGGACUUCAUAACAAUGAAGAUUAUCUGGAAAUUGAUCCUGCCUUCAACUCUUUCAAUUACUGGCGACUUCCCUUGCCUGAAAUUGAAUUUUCUUUGUGAAAUUCUCUCCUCCUUCGUACUUUAUGAAAUAGGAAAGAGAAUUAUCAGUCAUUUGAUCAGUUUAUGUAUUGUUUUUGAUGCAAUAAAUUAUAUAGAGCAUUA